Molecule: ribosomal RNA, 2893 nt
Filed under: Escherichia coli
Lineage: Bacteria; Pseudomonadati; Pseudomonadota; Gammaproteobacteria; Enterobacterales; Enterobacteriaceae
Description: bacterial LSU rRNA
Rfam family: Bacterial large subunit ribosomal RNA
Source: RNAcentral
ACUAAGCGUACACGGUGGAUGCCCUGGCAGUCAGAGGCGAUGAAGGACGUGCUAAUCUGCGAUAAGCGUCGGUAAGGUGAUAUGAACCGUUAUAACCGGCGAUUUCCGAAUGGGGAAACCCAGUGUGAUUCGUCACACUAUCAUUAACUGAAUCCAUAGGUUAAUGAGGCGAACCGGGGGAACUGAAACAUCUAAGUACCCCGAGGAAAAGAAAUCAACCGAGAUUCCCCCAGUAGCGGCGAGCGAACGGGGAGCAGCCCAGAGCCUGAAUCAGUGUGUGUGUUAGUGGAAGCGUCUGGAAAGGCGCGCGAUACAGGGUGACAGCCCCGUACACAAAAAUGCACAUGCUGUGAGCUCGAUGAGUAGGGCGGGACACGUGGUAUCCUGUCUGAAUAUGGGGGGACCAUCCUCCAAGGCUAAAUACUCCUGACUGACCGAUAGUGAACCAGUACCGUGAGGGAAAGGCGAAAAGAACCCCGGCGAGGGGAGUGAAAAAGAACCUGAAACCGUGUACGUACAAGCAGUGGGAGCACGCUUAGGCGUGUGACUGCGUACCUUUUGUAUAAUGGGUCAGCGACUUAUAUUCUGUAGCAAGGUUAACCGAAUAGGGGAGCCGAAGGGAAACCGAGUCUUAACUGGGCGUUAAGUUGCAGGGUAUAGACCCGAAACCCGGUGAUCUAGCCAUGGGCAGGUUGAAGGUUGGGUAACACUAACUGGAGGACCGAACCGACUAAUGUUGAAAAAUUAGCGGAUGACUUGUGGCUGGGGGUGAAAGGCCAAUCAAACCGGGAGAUAGCUGGUUCUCCCCGAAAGCUAUUUAGGUAGCGCCUCGUGAAUUCAUCUCCGGGGGUAGAGCACUGUUUCGGCAAGGGGGUCAUCCCGACUUACCAACCCGAUGCAAACUACGAAUACCGGAGAAUGUUAUCACGGGAGACACACGGCGGGUGCUAACGUCCGUCGUGAAGAGGGAAACAACCCAGACCGCCAGCUAAGGUCCCAAAGUCAUGGUUAAGUGGGAAACGAUGUGGGAAGGCCCAGACAGCCAGGAUGUUGGCUUAGAAGCAGCCAUCAUUUAAAGAAAGCGUAAUAGCUCACUGGUCGAGUCGGCCUGCGCGGAAGAUGUAACGGGGCUAAACCAUGCACCGAAGCUGCGGCAGCGACGCUGAUGCGUUGUUGGGUAGGGGAGCGUUCUGUAAGCCUGCGAAGGUGUGCUGUGAGGCAUGCUGGAGGUAUCAGAAGUGCGAAUGCUGACAUAAGUAACGAUAAAGCGGGUGAAAAGCCCGCUCGCCGGAAGACCAAGGGUUCCUGUCCAACGUUAAUCGGGGCAGGGUGAGUCGACCCCUAAGGCGAGGCCGAAAGGCGUAGUCGAUGGGAAACAGGUUAAUAUUCCUGUACUUGGUGUUACUGCGAAGGGGGGACGGAGAAGGCUAUGUUGGCCGGGCGACGGUUGUCCCGGUUUAAGCGUGUAGGCUGGUUUUCCAGGCAAAUCCGGAAAAUCAAGGCUGAGGCGUGAUGACGAGGCACUACGGUGCUGAAGCAACAAAUGCCCUGCUUCCAGGAAAAGCCUCUAAGCAUCAGGUAACAUCAAAUCGUACCCCAAACCGACACAGGUGGUCAGGUAGAGAAUACCAAGGCGCUUGAGAGAACUCGGGUGAAGGAACUAGGCAAAAUGGUGCCGUAACUUCGGGAGAAGGCACGCUGAUAUGUAGGUGAAGUCCCUCGCGGAUGGAGCUGAAAUCAGUCGAAGAUACCAGCUGGCUGCAACUGUUUAUUAAAAACACAGCACUGUGCAAACACGAAAGUGGACGUAUACGGUGUGACGCCUGCCCGGUGCCGGAAGGUUAAUUGAUGGGGUUAGCGCAAGCGAAGCUCUUGAUCGAAGCCCCGGUAAACGGCGGCCGUAACUAUAACGGUCCUAAGGUAGCGAAAUUCCUUGUCGGGUAAGUUCCGACCUGCACGAAUGGCGUAAUGAUGGCCAGGCUGUCUCCACCCGAGACUCAGUGAAAUUGAACUCGCUGUGAAGAUGCAGUGUACCCGCGGCAAGACGGAAAGACCCCGUGAACCUUUACUAUAGCUUGACACUGAACAUUGAGCCUUGAUGUGUAGGAUAGGUGGGAGGCUUUGAAGUGUGGACGCCAGUCUGCAUGGAGCCGACCUUGAAAUACCACCCUUUAAUGUUUGAUGUUCUAACGUGGACCCGUAAUCCGGGUUGCGGACAGUGUCUGGUGGGUAGUUUGACUGGGGCGGUCUCCUCCUAAAGAGUAACGGAGGAGCACGAAGGUUGGCUAAUCCUGGUCGGACAUCAGGAGGUUAGUGCAAUGGCAUAAGCCAGCUUGACUGCGAGCGUGACGGCGCGAGCAGGUGCGAAAGCAGGUCAUAGUGAUCCGGUGGUUCUGAAUGGAAGGGCCAUCGCUCAACGGAUAAAAGGUACUCCGGGGAUAACAGGCUGAUACCGCCCAAGAGUUCAUAUCGACGGCGGUGUUUGGCACCUCGAUGUCGGCUCAUCACAUCCUGGGGCUGAAGUAGGUCCCAAGGGUAUGGCUGUUCGCCAUUUAAAGUGGUACGCGAGCUGGGUUUAGAACGUCGUGAGACAGUUCGGUCCCUAUCUGCCGUGGGCGCUGGAGAACUGAGGGGGGCUGCUCCUAGUACGAGAGGACCGGAGUGGACGCAUCACUGGUGUUCGGGUUGUCAUGCCAAUGGCACUGCCCGGUAGCUAAAUGCGGAAGAGAUAAGUGCUGAAAGCAUCUAAGCACGAAACUUGCCCCGAGAUGAGUUCUCCCUGACUCCUUGAGAGUCCUGAAGGAACGUUGAAGACGACGACGUUGAUAGGCCGGGUGUGUAAGCGCAGCGAUGCGUUGAGCUAACCGGUACUAAUGAACCGUGAGGCUUAACC